UUCAUUAGCCAUAUCACCCUGCAGCCAAAGACUCACUGAAGCUGAGCAGGGCUGAGCCUGGUCAGUACCUGGAUGGGAGACCACAUGAGAAAACUUGGUUGCUGUUGGAA
Molecule: ribosomal RNA, 110 nt
Filed under: Danio rerio (zebrafish)
Lineage: Eukaryota; Metazoa; Chordata; Actinopteri; Cypriniformes; Danionidae
Source: RNAcentral